UACAGAGGGGGCAAGCGUUGUUCGGAAUUACUGGGCGUAAAGGGCGCGUAGGCGGCCUUCUAAGUCGAACGUGAAAUCCCCGGGCUCAACCCGGGAACUGCGUCCGAUACUGGAAGGCUUGAAUCCGGGAGAGGGAUGCGGAAUUCCAGGUGUAGCGGUGAAAUGCGUAGAUAUCGGGAGGAACACCGGUGGCGAAAGCGGCUGUCUGGCCCAAUACUGACGCUCAUGUGCGAAAGCGUGGGGAGCAAACAGG
RNAcentral lists this ribosomal RNA (253 nucleotides) under uncultured bacterium. RNAcentral's name for it is "partial 16S ribosomal RNA". It matches the Rfam family "Bacterial small subunit ribosomal RNA", at positions 524 to 776 of the family's 1533-position model. The record is from RNAcentral.